UUUAAUGUGGCAGAUUAGUGCUUUGAAUUUAAGAUUCAAGUAUAGAACUUUUGUUCUCGUUAAAG
Molecule: transfer RNA, 65 nt
Filed under: Tetragonula pagdeni
Lineage: Eukaryota; Metazoa; Arthropoda; Insecta; Hymenoptera; Apidae
Description: tRNA-Leu
Source: RNAcentral